RNAcentral lists this ribosomal RNA (2770 nucleotides) under Klebsiella pneumoniae. RNAcentral describes it as "bacterial LSU rRNA". It matches the Rfam family "Bacterial large subunit ribosomal RNA". Lineage: Bacteria; Pseudomonadati; Pseudomonadota; Gammaproteobacteria; Enterobacterales; Enterobacteriaceae. The record is from RNAcentral.
CACUAUCGUUAACUGAAUACAUAGGUUAACGAGGCGAACCGGGGGAACUGAAACAUCUAAGUACCCCGAGGAAAAGAAAUCAACCGAGAUUCCCCCAGUAGCGGCGAGCGAACGGGGAGCAGCCCAGAGUCUGAAUCAGCUUGUGUGUUAGUGGAACGGUCUGGAAAGUCCGACGGUACAGGGUGAUAGUCCCGUACACCAAAAUGCACAGGUUGUGAACUCGAAGAGUAGGGCGGGACACGUGGUAUCCUGUCUGAAUAUGGGGGGACCAUCCUCCAAGGCUAAAUACUCCUGACUGACCGAUAGUGAACCAGUACCGUGAGGGAAAGGCGAAAAGAACCCCGGCGAGGGGAGUGAAAAAGAACCUGAAACCGUGUACGUACAAGCAGUGGGAGCACCUUCGGGUGUGACUGCGUACCUUUUGUAUAAUGGGUCAGCGACUUAUAUUCUGUAGCAAGGUUAACCGUAUAGGGGAGCCGCAGGGAAACCGAGUCUUAACUGGGCGUUAAGUUGCAGGGUAUAGACCCGAAACCCGGUGAUCUAGCCAUGGGCAGGUUGAAGGUUGGGUAACACUAACUGGAGGACCGAACCGACUAAUGUUGAAAAAUUAGCGGAUGACUUGUGGCUGGGGGUGAAAGGCCAAUCAAACCGGGAGAUAGCUGGUUCUCCCCGAAAGCUAUUUAGGUAGCGCCUCGUGAAUUCAUCUUCGGGGGUAGAGCACUGUUUCGGCUAGGGGGUCAUCCCGACUUACCAACCCGAUGCAAACUACGAAUACCGAAGAAUGUUAUCACGGGAGACACACGGCGGGUGCUAACGUCCGUCGUGAAGAGGGAAACAACCCAGACCGCCAGCUAAGGUCCCAAAGUCAUGGUUAAGUGGGAAACGAUGUGGGAAGGCACAGACAGCCAGGAUGUUGGCUUAGAAGCAGCCAUCAUUUAAAGAAAGCGUAAUAGCUCACUGGUCGAGUCGGCCUGCGCGGAAGAUGUAACGGGGCUAAACCAUGCACCGAAGCUGCGGCAGCGACACUAUGUGUUGUUGGGUAGGGGAGCGUUCUGUAAGCCUGCGAAGGUGUGCUGUGAGGCAUGCUGGAGGUAUCAGAAGUGCGAAUGCUGACAUAAGUAACGAUAAAGCGGGUGAAAAGCCCGCUCGCCGGAAGACCAAGGGUUCCUGUCCAACGUUAAUCGGGGCAGGGUGAGUCGACCCCUAAGGCGAGGCCGAAAGGCGUAGUCGAUGGGAAACAGGUUAAUAUUCCUGUACUUGGUGUUACUGCGAAGGGGGGACGGAGAAGGCUAUGUUAGCCGGGCGACGGUUGUCCCGGUUUAAGCAUGUAGGCUGGUUAUCCAGGCAAAUCCGGAUAAUCAAGGCUGAGGUGUGAUGACGAGGCACUACGGUGCUGAAGUAACAAAUGCCCUGCUUCCAGGAAAAGCCUCUAAGCAUCAGGUAACAUCAAAUCGUACCCCAAACCGACACAGGUGGUCAGGUAGAGAAUACCAAGGCGCUUGAGAGAACUCGGGUGAAGGAACUAGGCAAAAUGGUGCCGUAACUUCGGGAGAAGGCACGCUGGUGUGUAGGUGAAGUCCCUGCGGAUGGAGCUGAGACCAGUCGAAGAUACCAGCUGGCUGCAACUGUUUAUUAAAAACACAGCACUGUGCAAACACGAAAGUGGACGUAUACGGUGUGACGCCUGCCCGGUGCCGGAAGGUUAAUUGAUGGGGUUAUCCGUAAGGAGAAGCUCUUGAUCGAAGCCCCGGUAAACGGCGGCCGUAACUAUAACGGUCCUAAGGUAGCGAAAUUCCUUGUCGGGUAAGUUCCGACCUGCACGAAUGGCGUAAUGAUGGCCAGGCUGUCUCCACCCGAGACUCAGUGAAAUUGAACUCGCUGUGAAGAUGCAGUGUACCCGCGGCAAGACGGAAAGACCCCGUGAACCUUUACUAUAGCUUGACACUGAACAUUGAGCCUUGAUGUGUAGGAUAGGUGGGAGGCUUUGAAGCGUGGACGCCAGUCUGCGUGGAGCCAACCUUGAAAUACCACCCUUUAAUGUUUGAUGUUCUAACGUUGGCCCCUGACCGGGGUUGCGGACAGUGUCUGGUGGGUAGUUUGACUGGGGCGGUCUCCUCCCAAAGCGUAACGGAGGAGCACGAAGGUUAGCUAAUCCUGGUCGGACAUCAGGAGGUUAGUGCAAUGGCAUAAGCUAGCUUGACUGCGAGCGUGACGGCGCGAGCAGGUGCGAAAGCAGGUCAUAGUGAUCCGGUGGUUCUGAAUGGAAGGGCCAUCGCUCAACGGAUAAAAGGUACUCCGGGGAUAACAGGCUGAUACCGCCCAAGAGUUCAUAUCGACGGCGGUGUUUGGCACCUCGAUGUCGGCUCAUCACAUCCUGGGGCUGAAGUAGGUCCCAAGGGUAUGGCUGUUCGCCAUUUAAAGUGGUACGCGAGCUGGGUUUAGAACGUCGUGAGACAGUUCGGUCCCUAUCUGCCGUGGGCGCUGGAGAAUUGAGGGGGGCUGCUCCUAGUACGAGAGGACCGGAGUGGACGCAUCACUGGUGUUCGGGUUGUCAUGCCAAUGGCACUGCCCGGUAGCUAAAUGCGGAAGAGAUAAGUGCUGAAAGCAUCUAAGCACGAAACUUGCCCCGAGAUGAGUUCUCCCUGAGACUUUAAGUCUCCUGAAGGAACGUUGAAGACGACGACGUUGAUAGGCCGGGUGUGUAAGCGCAGCGAUGCGUUGAGCUAACCGGUACUAAUGAACCGUGAGGCUUAACCUUACAACGCCGAAG